GACGAACGCUGGCGGCGUGCUUAACACAUGCAAGUCGAACGGAAAGGCCCUGCUUUUGUGGGGUGCUCGAGUGGCGAACGGGUGAGUAACACGUGAGUAACCUGCCCUUGACUUUGGGAUAACUUCAGGAAACUGGGGCUAAUACCGGAUAGGAGCUCCUGCUGCAUGGUGGGGGUUGGAAAGUUUCGGCGGUUGGGGAUGGACUCGCGGCUUAUCAGCUUGUUGGUGGGGUAGUGGCUUACCAAGGCUUUGACGGGUAGCCGGCCUGAGAGGGUGACCGGCCACAUAGGGACUGGGAUACGGCCCGGACUCCUACGGGAGGCAGCAGUGGGGAAUAUUGCACAAUGGGCGGAAGCCUGAUGCAGCAACGCCGGGUGCGGGAUGACGGCCUUCGGGUUGUAAACCGCUUUCGCCUGUGACGAAGCGUGAGUGACGGUAAUGGGUAAAGAAGCACCGGCUAACUACGUG
RNAcentral lists this ribosomal RNA (468 nucleotides) under uncultured bacterium. RNAcentral describes it as "partial 16S ribosomal RNA". It matches the Rfam family "Bacterial small subunit ribosomal RNA", at positions 28 to 507 of the family's 1533-position model. The record is from RNAcentral.